RNAcentral lists this ribosomal RNA (855 nucleotides) under uncultured Flexibacteraceae bacterium. RNAcentral's name for it is "bacterial SSU rRNA". It matches the Rfam family "Bacterial small subunit ribosomal RNA", at positions 56 to 911 of the family's 1533-position model. The record is from RNAcentral. Lineage: Bacteria; Pseudomonadati; Bacteroidota; Cytophagia; Cytophagales; Cytophagaceae.
UGCAGUCGAACGGUAAGUAGUGUAGCAAUACAUUGCCUAGAGUGACGUACGGGUGCGUAACACGUAUGCAACCUACCUAUAACAGGAGGAUAGCUCGGGGAAACUCGAAUUAACCCUCCAUAAUAUAAUUGAAUGGCAUCAUUUGAUUAUUAAAACUCCGGUGGUUAUAGAUGGGCAUGCGUCUGAUUAGUUAGUUGGCGGGGUAAAGGCCCACCAAGACGAUGAUCAGUAGGGGAACUGAGAGGUUGAUCCCCCACACUGGCACUGAGAUACGGGCCAGACUCCUACGGGAGGCAGCGGUAGGGAAUAUUGGUCAAUGGGUGCGAGCCUGAACCAGCCAUGCCGCGUGCAGGAAGAAGGCCUUCUGGGUUGUAAACUGCUUUUGCCGGGGGAUAAAAUUCCCAUGCGUGGGAAAUUGAAGGUACCCGGUGAAUAAGCCACGGCUAACUACGUGCCAGCAGCCGCGGUAAUACGUAGGUGGCAAGCGUUGUCCGGAUUUAUUGGGUUUAAAGGGUGCGUAGGCGGCCUUGUAAGUCAGUGCUGAAAUAUCCCGGCUUAACCGGGAGGGUGGCAUUGAUACUGCAGGGCUUGAGUAGAGUCGAGGUAGGCGGAAUUGACGGUGUAGCGGUGAAAUGCUUAGAUAUCGUCAAGAACACCGAUAGUGUAGACAGCUUACUAGGCUCAAACUGACGCUGAGGCACGAAAGUGUGGGGAUCAAACAGGAUUAGAUACCCUGGUAGUCCACACUGUAAACGUUGAUGACUCGCUGUUGGCGAUAUACAGUCAGCGGCUUAGAGAAAUCGUUAAGUCAUCCACCUGGGGAGUACGCCGGCAACGGUGAAACUCAAAGGAAUU